Molecule: transfer RNA, 73 nt
Filed under: Bacillus thuringiensis
Lineage: Bacteria; Bacillati; Bacillota; Bacilli; Caryophanales; Bacillaceae
Also listed under: 51 other names
Description: tRNA-Thr
Rfam family: tRNA
About the family: Transfer RNA (tRNA) molecules are approximately 80 nucleotides in length. Their secondary structure includes four short double-helical elements and three loops (D, anti-codon, and T loops).
Source: RNAcentral
GCUUCCAUAGCUCAGCUGGUAGAGUACUUCCAUGGUAAGGAAGAGGUCACCGGUUCAACCCCGGUUGGAAGCU